This is a long non-coding RNA of Mesocricetus auratus (golden hamster), 2923 nucleotides long. RefSeq lists it as uncharacterized. Lineage: Eukaryota; Metazoa; Chordata; Mammalia; Rodentia; Cricetidae. The transcript has 3 exons. The record is from RefSeq and is a predicted model, not a curated record.
UCUCCUCCCGGCUCCACCACGGAAUAUUCAGCUGACCCUCCGAGUUCCUCCUCUCACCCCUGCCACAGCACUAAAGGAGAGCAGAGAACUGGCUCAUCCCCACAAACCUCCUCAUCGAGACCUUUCUGUUGCUGCUGCAGGGUCCCCGCACUGCAUAUAUUCAGUGAUGCUGUGCCCAGUGUCCUGGAGCCAUCGAACCACCUGAAGAGGACAUUCAUAGCCCAGCUCACAAAUAACCCAAGGAAGCUCAGGGAAUCCGACGAAAAUGGGUGUGGUGGCUCUGACCAGCAAUCCCAGCUGUCUGAGGCAGGAGGAUUGUAAGUUCAAGACCUGGCUGGGCACCACCAGACUGACUUCAAGGCUAGCUUGGGCAACCAGGAGUGACUGACUUAUUGGGAAGUCUAUCCAGCCAAACAGCACCGGCCAGGGCAGAGUUGCAGCCCCAUAGGAACCUCUGAAGCUCGAGUGGCCUGGCUGCCAAAAAAGCCAACAGGAUCAGAUGGCAAAGAAAGAAGUUUAGACGACAUCUCCAGACUCCAAAGAAUUCUCGUGAGACAGGAGAAUGCCCAAGGAAUCCUGGAGAGUCAGUUCUGAGGACCAGAAGUUCACAAGCAGUCCCAGCAAGCUAAGGUGAAGGUGUGUCAGCCUACUUCGUUCUGGAACUUCCAGAAGGACAGAAUGUCUCCUCCCCUUCUCAGCAUCUAGUGGCUGCCUGCAUGCCUUGGCACACAGCCCCCUCCUCCGUGUUCAAAGAACUCUAGUGUUGUUUCUUCUGCUUGUAUCACCUUCUCUGUGUCAAAGCUCCAGCCACCUUCCCCUCCCAGGAAGCCUAUGAAGAUAUCGAUUGGUUUUUCCUGGCCACGAGGAGAGAACCUCGCAAAUCUCAAGAUCCUUUACCUGGCCACAUGGUCGAUGCUGCCACAGAAGGGAAGAAACACAGGGGCUGAGAUGUGGGGGAGGAUCAGGCAGUCAGGACUGUCAUUCUGCCCCACACAGGCAGCCCCGUGCUCUCUCCAGCCUGUCCUCCACCGGGCCAGGACUUGGUGCCCUAGGGGUGCUUGAUUCACUUGAUGGGUGAACACAGUGAAUGAACAGAGAAAGGAUGCAGUGUUGGAGCCGCCAUUAGAGGCACCAGGGUCUGCAACGGGCCAGCUGAGAGGUCAGCAGUGAAAACUGAGGCUCCUGAGACUCCUUCCCCUCCACUCACCAUGACAGAGAAUAUUCUCUGUAAUAAAUAAGAGAUCAAACCCAGCAAGUCAGUGCAGCGCCUGAGUCAGGCAGCAGGAGCUAAAAAGGGGGAGCCUCCUCCUGGGGCUGGGACUGAGCCUGGAGGCUAAACAUCCCCAGACACUCAACCUCCCACACCUUGUCCCAGCAGUGUGCUCUGUUUCCCAGUGAGCAGUCUCCCAGUCCUGCUGGUCAGAGAACCCCAGGUGCUACUCUGGGGAGUUAGCAGAAACCUGGUCUCUGCCCCCAAGGGGAUACCAGGCCACACACUGGGCACCGAAAUAUCCUCUAUCAUGCGUUCCUUUCCCCAUAGGGCUGUCACGCGAGCUCUGCUGGCCACAGGCUUGUGUGUUCCCAGGCUUCCACUGCCACCAUCCCCCUCUGAUUACUUCUUGUCCUGCCAAAUAUUGCUGAGAAGUUGAUGCCAGGAAGGUGGGUGGAGUGGCCACUGGGAGGUAGUGGCUGAUUCGAACUGAGAGGGGUUGGUAGAUGGUGGAAAGGAUCAGGCCACAGGCAGCUGACGAUAACAUGGGAGGUGAGGAUCCUCAGAUAUAAACAAAGCAACAGGAAGAGCAGUGAUUUCUGCAAUCAGCUGCCACUGUCCGUGUCGGGCUGCACCAUGUGCAUGGCAUUUUCAAACUCUUUUCAUCUUUUUUAUGAGCUGGUAAAGAUUAUUAAGCCACUUUACAGGCGAGGAAACCAAGGCACAGAGAAAGAAAGGAACUUGCCAAGAUGAGCAUCUGCAAACAAAGUCAGGAACUGAAUCAACUGUGUCUAGACUAUUACUUCUAGAAAUAUGACUCAAAGAGAAACCAAGGAAGUGUAGGGGAAGGGCUACAUUCAAGGAACCCUGUGGAUGGUAAUAUAAUUUCCUAAGCAUGUGAUAUAUAUGCAGGUGACCCUCUGCUUACAGUGGGAAUUACAGCCUGUCAUGGGUGGACAUGAUCAGAGACAGACAAAAAUGUUCCUGUCCUGCUGACUGUCACAGCUUAAUAUGCAGACACUGCAGAACAUCAGCUGUCUGCCCUCGUCAGCGUGUGGCUGCCUGGUUGCUGCACUCACAGCCGCUGGCCUGCAUCAAGGAAGAAAAGCACCCUGCAAACUGCUAGGUGGGUAAAAUCAAAAUUCUCUACAGAAGUGUGGCUGCUACUGAAUAUGAAUCACUUUUGCACCACCGUUAGGUUAAAAGUCAGAAGUUGAACCAUUGUAGCUUAGAGUCUGUCGCUAAAGCAGCAGAGAGAUGCGUUGACGGGUGGAGCUCAGGUGAUAGAGAGUCAGAAUCCAGGAUCUGGGGGAAUGGCCAGGCCCAGAAGAGAGGGGAUAGGGGGUGGUGACUACACUGUGCAAAUGGGUCCCACAAGUGGCUUGUCUGUUAGGUCCUCAGCAAACCAUGAAAUGGGUGUAGACAAAACAGCCAGGUGCAUGUUGUGUGACACUACAUCUGGGAUAUAUGAACAAGUGUCUACUGGAAAGGGCACAACAACAGACCUAAGUAAUUACACCAUCGAAGUCCAACUUGGUGAAUUCGCGAGUUCACUAGGGUUCCUCACCAAAGUAUGGGUUGUUCACAGAAGCAUGGAUAAUACAAAGGCAGCUGCAUCAGCCAAUCCACCCUAGCCUGGGUAACACAUCAUGAGAGCCACAACCCUCUGCACAACCUACAGGCAGCUCAACAGACAGCAGAAUCUCCUCUCCU